GGGGGUAGCGGAAUUCCAAAUGUAGGGGGUGAAAUCCCGUAGAUAUUUGGAGGAACACAGGUGGCGAAGGCGGCUACCUGGAUGAGUAUUGACACUGAGGCUCGAAAGCGUGGGGAUCAAACAGGAUUAGAUACCCUGGUAGUCCACGCUGUAAACGAUGGAUGCUAGUUGUUGGGGGGUUCCCACUCAGUGACGUAGCUAACGCGUUAAGCAUCCCGCCUGGGGAGUACGGUCGCAAGAUUAAAACUCAAAGAAAUUGACGGGGACCCGCACAAGCGGUGGAGCAUGUGGUUUAAUUCGAGGCAACGCGAAGAACCUUACCAGGCCUUGACAUGUCCUUUUUGAUCGCCAGAGAUGGCUUUCUUCACUUCGGGUGGGAGGAACACAGGUGCUGCAUGGCUGUCGUCAGCUCGUGUCGUGAGAUGUUGGGUUAAGUCCCGCAACGAGCGCAACCCUCGUCCUUAGUUGCCAACAGGUAAUGCUGGGAACUCUAAGGAAACUGCCUAUGAUAAGUAGGAGGAAGGUGGGGACGACGUCAAGUCAUCAUGGCCCUUACGGCCUGGGCUACACACGUGCUACAAUGGUGGCUACAAUGGGCAGCGACCCCGUGGGGGUGAGCUAACCCCCAAAAGCCAUCUCAGUUCGGAUUGUACUCUGCAACUCGAGUACAUGAAGUUGGAAUCGCUAGUAAUCGUAGAUCAGCGUGCUACGGUGAAUACGUUCCCGGGUCUUGUACACACCGCCCGUCACACCAUGGGAGUUGUUUCUGCCUUAAGUCGGUGCGCCAAUCUGGUAGCCGCCCACGGCAGGGAU
This 813-nucleotide ribosomal RNA is filed under the name uncultured bacterium. Its description in RNAcentral is "bacterial SSU rRNA". It matches the Rfam family "Bacterial small subunit ribosomal RNA", at positions 654 to 1469 of the family's 1533-position model. The record is from RNAcentral.